Pecten maximus is the source of this 2810-nucleotide long non-coding RNA. RefSeq lists it as uncharacterized. NCBI's taxonomy places the organism in Eukaryota, Metazoa, Mollusca, Bivalvia, Pectinida, Pectinidae. The transcript has 2 exons. The record is from RefSeq and is a predicted model, not a curated record.
GUGGGACAGGGGAAUCUCAACCCUCGGGGAAGAUUCUUAAGUUGCCAAACACGAGGCAAUAAAAAAAAUCAUAAUAGUUUGAAUUACCUACCUUUGUAUCAUUUCUCUCCGCUAGGAUCCGAUCAUAAAUAUUGUAUUUUCGAAAGCAAGCGUAGAGAAGAAAACAAACUAUGAUAGAUAAUCCAAUCUACACAUAACCUAGGGUAUGAUCAGGUCGAGAUAUAAUUCCACUACAAGUGUCUGAAGAAGUUUUUGAGUGGUAUUAAUGAAAUUGAAAAAGAAAAAAAUCAAAUAUUUCGAUUCAUGUAUUAGAGAAAAUAUCCCUCUUAUUAACAACAUUGACUACUGACUAAAGAACGAAAAGACAUUUAAAAACAAAAUCCCUGGUUGCAAAACUGAAGCUUCCUAGUCAGGUCCGAGGUCAAGUGAUGGAGUAACAUUCGUGGAGUUCUGAGUCAUUCAUCGUCAUGCUAAAUUAAUUCAAUUUUAUUUUAUCAUUGACAGCAAGCUCUGCUAUCCAAAUCUCCACUACAGAUGUGUACGGUUACAUCCGUCUGACCCAAUAUGGAUAUGUUUACCAGCCGGUGCCGGACUGCCUCGCACACUUUACGUUCCAGGUGAAAGCUUGUCAUGAUGUACAUGUGGGACUUUUCAACACUGCUGGAGAACCUUACACAUACGAAAUUGUUAUAGGUGGUUGGACAAAUUCCAGGUCGAGAAUUAUUAGCUCGGUCAACCUCUUCCAAAGUUAAUAAUUUCGAGAGCAAUAUGGUGGAUUGUAACGUCCACAAAAGUUUCUGGAUAUCUUGGCGGAACAAUGUGAUAUCAGCGGGGCGUGGCAACUCCUUCAAUAAUGACAUGAUAUUGUCAUUUACUGAUGAACAUCCAAACCAAAUACGAUCUGUUGGAAUCACGACAGGAUUCGGUGCCUCGGGUGAAUGGAAAAUACCAAGUGAACGUCCAUCAUUGCAGUGCUAUCAAAAUGUCCAAUGGUCUGUGUCACCAGGACAUCAGAACACAAACAUGACAGUCAACAUCACGUGGUCUGUGACAGCUGAUAACCUCGGACAGUGCGCUGUGGCCUGUAAACGGAGUAGUUCAUGUGUGUCAUUUGUGUAUGAUAACGAUAGAAAUGUAUGCCAAGGUCACGGACUGCAGUUCCAUAAUAUCAUCGAAGGUCAAGGUCACACACAUAAGGGAAGCCACUAUUUCAGCAUGUCGUAGAUUUUGAACAGCUUUGUUGUUUAAGUUGACAACGAAGACGUACUGCAACAGUAUAUUGGCCGUGUUUUCAAUGAAUGCUAAUAUGAUGUUUCGACGAGGUUCCAUAGAAUACCCUCUUCAUAUCCUUUUGUUUGUGUGUAGGAAAAUGUCAAUUAACAUAAACCUUAUGUUUUACAUUCUUUACAAUAUGUGUUUAAUAGAAGUUAGGAUUUGCCAGUACAAUUAUAGAUUUUUGUCCGCUUGAAGAAAAUUUUGUUUUGAAAAAUAUAUCUCGGUGUUCUUAUCCUGGCUACAAGUUGAUCAAAAAGAAAUCAGUAUAUAUCUUUGAUAUUGAUUUUAUAUAACAUUGUACGACUCAAGUAUUUUCUGUGAGAAACAUGAUUACAGGUGUUUUUCAUGCUACAGCUAGAUUUGGGAUGUUAACCGAGCAAUAAUUGAAUGAAAAUAUUUAACGUUUUUUUUUUAUUUUUUAUUUAAUGUUUUUUUUUUUGUAUAUUUGCUAUACGCAUUCAAUAAGUUUAAUUUCUGUUGUAAUAUCUGUAUUGUAAUAUUUGCAUUCUUUGUUUCAACAUUGAUGCUAUAUUUGUAUUAUUUGUUUUGAGUGUUAUUUUCCUUUCAUAUUCUGUUUUUCAGCAUGAAUUUUACAUUUGUAUUGUAAAACGUUGCGUUCAAUGUUUAACUUACCUUUUCGAAUGACAAUUAAGCUUGUACCCUUGUGCGGCGUCAUUAAUUGGGCAUUUAGCUUGGAAGAAGGACGAUCGGGUUUAUUCAAAUGAAUAGCCUUGACCCACUUCAAAGGCCACAGUGGUCAAACUUUAACAUUUUUUGUCUAAAUAACCAAGUAUCCCAAAAACCUUUAUAUUUGAUCUGUAUGUUUUUAACAUGGAGUUAACGUGAUUGGUUUAUAGUCGAUCAACAUGAUUAAUCCUCGAUAUUAUCUCUUACUCAAUGUUGUCACAUAUUAUGCUAAUUCUUAGACAGCCUCGUUUCCGGCCGCUACGCGACGAGUGAGUGUUGAAGCACCACUAGAUAAAGCUAUCAAUAAUAUAUGUAAAGCGUUCGAGAAAAUAAAUUAAAUAUGUAUAUGUAUAAACAGUCAUAUUGUAUAUCAUGUUUUCCCAUCGAUCACACACAUAUUGAUUACAAAUAGUAAUGACUUAUUUUCGACUUGAAACGAUAUGGCAUUCCCAUGCGACUGAAUACAUCAAUACAGAUUAUUUUUCUUGGAUAUUGCUAAUCACCAAAUUAUCUCCAAAUGAAAUUAGUUUAAAAGAGUUGUAUUUUUCCAUAGAUUGCUUCAUCCUUAAAUUCUUUUGUGGUUUGAAUCAUUGGCGUAAACCUUAAAUGAUUGAAUUAUAUGCUAACAAAAUAUAUCGGUUUAUCGUGAAAAAUCUCAAAUUAUCCCCCUUGUCACUUUGCUUAUUGGAGUUGGAUUUAGCUCCCCUUGUCCGUUUCAAACACAUGUUAAAGAUCAAGCUCACUAGAGGAGAAUAUUAUGGUGUACAUGUAUUUUAUUUGCAAAAUAUUUUUUAAAGACCAUUGUAUCCUUCUCAACCAUAAACAAUUAAACUUGAAUCAUAUAUUUA